UCGGACGUGGUGCACGGCGCACCCCCGCUCUUCUUAUAUGGGGCCAAAUAGAUGAAAGUGGGAGGCUUGGGUUCGACUCCCGGCGUCCGAA
Molecule: non-coding RNA, 91 nt
Organism: Mycena vulgaris
Lineage: Eukaryota; Fungi; Basidiomycota; Agaricomycetes; Agaricales; Mycenaceae
Source: the annotation of a GenBank genome assembly